AACGAACGCUGGCGGCAUGCCUAACACAUGCAAGUCGAACGAGACCUUCGGGUCUAGUGGCGCACGGGUGCGUAACGCGUGGGAACCUGCCCUUAGGUUCGGAAUAACUCCCCGAAAGGGGUGCUAAUACCGGAUAAUGUCUUCGGACCAAAGAUUUAUCGCCUUUGGAUGGGCCCGCGUUGGAUUAGCUAGUUGGUAGGGUAAAAGCCUACCAAGGCGACGAUCCAUAGCUGGUCUGAGAGGAUGAUCAGCCACACUGGGACUGAGACACGGCCCAGACUCCUACGGGAGGCAGCAGUGGGGAAUAUUGGACAAGGGGCGAAAGCCUGAUCCAGCUAUGCCGCGUGAGUGAUGAAGGCCUUAGGGUUGUAAAGCUCUUUUACCCGGGAUGAUAAUGACAGUACCGGGAGAAUAAGCUCCGGCUAACUCCGUG
Molecule: ribosomal RNA, 433 nt
Filed under: uncultured bacterium
Lineage: Bacteria
Description: partial 16S ribosomal RNA
Rfam family: Bacterial small subunit ribosomal RNA
Source: RNAcentral